CAGACAAACAGAAGUUCAUUGGUGCAUUGGGAUUCUUAUUAAGUCACUUUCUUGAAUAUGUGGAUCAUAUAUCCAGGGUAUAAUCCUGAGAUGAAUAAGUGAAUAUAUAAAUGCAUCGUAAACAAACACUGCGGGUUGAUUGAUUCACCAACUCCUUCUAUCAAUGUCAAGCUACUUUGAAUUUUCGACGCAGCAAAUACCCUAAUGAAAUGGCUAUAAAAGCCGUUAUAACGAUCCCCUUGUACGCCUUCAACUUGAUCAUUACAUUUUCUAACAUAGUUUCAUCUCUUUUUGAUCCCUUCUGUUGUUGGUCACUUCCGACUUUCCCCGUCCGUUUGUCACUUCCGUCGUUUGGGGUUUCGCCUUUCACUUCUACAUCAGCCUGCUUCUUUGGGAUGGCUAUCUCGAGAGGUUUCGUAGGGGAUGUUUGUUGGUCUAUGCACAGCUUCACGUCUUUCCCAGCAGCUUAGAAAGAGAGCAACAAAUUAAAGAUUACCAACAUUCUACUUUUCCAUUGAAUACACUUGUUUCUAUAAAUUGUGUGUGUAUAUAUAGAGGCUAAGAAGAAGAGCAAUUAAACAAUGAUUCAUAGAUUUAACAGAUCAUUUAUUUUCUAACAAGAAGAAAAGAGUUCAAGUAACUUCAAGAAGUAAGCCUCCAAAGAUGACAAAGCAGAAAAUUGGCGAGAAGAAAUUUAUUCAAUACCGGUAAUAUUGAUUUGGACAUGAUCUUGAUACUCCGUCCAUUCACCAACAUUUGAAAUAGGCUUUGUUUUUGGUUUUUCGACAUUCCCUUUUACUGUCACAUCCUUCUUUGGGAUGGUUAUCUCGAGAGGUUUCGUAGGGGAUGGCAUGCACAGCUUUACCUCUCUCCCAGCAGCUUAGAAUGAGAGCAACAAAUUAAAGAUUAACAACAUUCUACUUCUCCAUUGAAUACAUUUGUUUCUAUAAAUUGUGUGUGUAUAUAGAGGCUAAAAAGAAGAGCAAUUAAACAAUGAUUCAUAGAUUUAACAGAUCAUUUAUUUUCUAACAAGAAGAAAAGAGUUCAAGGAACUUCAACAAGUAAGCCUCCAAAGAUGACAAAGCAGAAUAUUGGUGAGAAGAAAUUUAUUCAAUACCGGUAAUAUUGAUUUGGACACGAUCUCCAUCCUCCGUCCAAUUUCCAACAUCUGAAAUUGGUGUUUCUGAAAUAGCUUUUGCUGCUGUGUUGUCUGUCAUAGAUAAGGUAUGAAGGAAGCAGAGGGAUGUUAGGCCUUGAGCUGAUACAAUAUUAGUAGCCUGUGGUGAUGGUGACUGAAUCAGUUUUAUGGCUUUGUAUAUAUAGCUAGAAAAUGGAACUUUUCUUGCUCAACCAUGUGAAUCUUAUUCCAAACUUUUUUCUUUCUUGGAUGUUUAGACCUAGGAUUGUAACUCAAUUAUGAUCUCUAACCGAGGAAAGGUACUAUUCCUUGCGUUCGAUAUCCCACUUGUUGGGAAUUUGAUAAAAGAAUGUUUCAAACUUUAAAAAAAAGGAAUAAAAUAUUUUACUCAUUUGAUAAGUCUGUAAUAACUUCACUUGAUUUGAUAAGCCAAUAAUCCUUUAGCUUGUAAUUGAGCACCUUAGAUAUUUCCAACCUUUAGGCUAGAAGUUAUGGAAUUUUGGGAAUUAAUCCGUGAUAUUCAAAACCCGUCUACUCAUAAAAAAGAACCUUUUUUCCUUCUUGUAGAUAUUUGAAAGGUUCAAACACCUCUCAAAGUUUCUUUAUUAUAUUAUUAUUAUUAUUAUUACUUUAGAUAGAUUGAUCAAUUUUUCCUUUGAACAUGCUCAUAGAGAAGACAUCGUCGAGAGCUAUUGGAAUUAUAUCUUGGAGUGCUCAUGAUCAUCAACCGUUAGUACUCAUAUGGAGGGAGACAAAAAAAACUUUGAAUCCCAUCACUGAGAAGGACACAAACCAAGUUUCUGAGGAAGCAACAAGAGAGCAGUGGGUGCAUGAGGUUAUUUGGUAAAUGAACUGAUACAGAUUGAUUUAUCUAUCAUUUUGUAAGGUUCAUCCAUUGAUCAUUUUCUGCAGACCGCAAUUGAACAGAUACAACCCAGAGAGAGCUUUGGAAUUUAAACUGAAAAUUAAAUCGAUUGAAAAUUGAUGGCUUGAGAGAAUUUUAUGGGGUUUUCUUUCGAUGGGUAUAUGUUGUUGUCUACAAAAUUCAAAGAGCUCACAUGAUCAGUGGUUGAAUUUAUGCUGACAAAAAUUAAAAAGAAGAUAUAUGGCAAGCAGACAAACAGAAGCUCAUUGGCGAAUUGGGAUUCUUAUUAAGUCGCUUCAUUCAAUAUGUGGAUCAUACGUAAAGGGUACAACCAUGAGAUGAAUGAGUGAAUAUACAAACGCAUCAUAAACAAACAAUGCAGGUUGAUUGAUUCACCAACUCCUUCCAUCAAUGUCCAGCUACUUUGAAUUUUGGACGCAGCAAAAACCCUAAUGAAAAGGCUAUAAAAGCCGUUAUGACGAUCCCCUUUCGCAUCUUCAACUUGGUCAUGACAUUUUCUAACAUAGUUUCAUUUCCUUUUUGUUCACUACUCCCUCCUUUCCUAGCACCUUUUUCUGACUCAUCAGUCGUGACCUCCGGGUUGUUAGAAGUAUUCACAGCCGGAGAGUUGUUAGUAGUAUUCACUGGCUGAGUUUUGUUAGUGUCGGAGCUGUUAGAUUCUUACUGCAUUGGGAUGCUAGUAGUAUUCACAAACUGGUCAGUUUUGUUGGCGUCAGAACUGUUAAAUUCUUGUUGUUUUGGGAUGCUAGUAGUAUUCACUGGCUGAGUUUUGUUGGUGUCAAAACUGUUAGAUUCUUGCUGCUUUGGGAUGCUAGUAGUUAUCACAGGCUGAGUUUUGUUGGUGUCAGAGCGGUUAGAUUUUUGCUGCUUUGGGAUGCUGGUAGUAUAAACUGGCUGAGUUUUGUUGGUGUCAGAGCUGUUAGAUUCUUGCUGCUUUGGGAUGCUAGUAGUAUUCAUAGGCUGAGUUUUGUUGGUGUCAGAGCUAUUUUCUUGUUGUUUUGGGAUACUAGUAGUAUUCACUGGUUGAGUUUUGUCGAUGUCAGUCCUGUUAAAUUCUUGCUCCUUUGGGAUGCUAGUAGUAUUCACUGGCUGAGUUUCAUUGGUGUCAGAGCUGUUAGAUUCUUGCUGCUUUGGGAUGAUCAUUUGGAGACGCUUCUUAUAUUUGAUUUUUAGCUUGCUUGCGUCGUCUAUGCUCAGCUCUAUGUCUUUCCCAUCGGCUUAGAAUAAGAACAACAAAUUAAAGAUUAACAACAUUCUACUUUUCCAUUGAAUACAUUUGUUUCUAUAAAUAUUGUGUGUGUGUGUGUAUAAGCUAAUAAGAAGAGCAGUUAAACUAUGAUUCAUAGAUUUAUAAACAGAUGAUUUAUUCUCUAAUAAGAAGAAAAGAGUUCAAAGUAACUUCACCAAGUAAGCCUCCAAAGAUGAUAAAACAAAUUGGUGAGAAGAAAUUUAUUCAAUAUCGGCAAUGCUGAUUUUGACAUGAUCUUUUUCCUCCCAUUUACUAACAUCUGCAAUAUUCCCUUCUUUUGUGCCUGGCAUUGAUAAGGUAUGAAGGAAGCAAAGGGACCAACUUUGUGUGCAUAGCUAGAAAGUGGUGACUCAAAGUGUGUGAACGAAUGUGAACAACGGCUCUAAACGCCAAAACUAAAUAUGUGACUCUAAAUGUCAUACUGAACAAAGACUCUUGACGUCGAACUAAGCUGAUAGGAAGAUGGUCGAUCGAUAUAGGUGUGGCCCUGACUCAAACUGAACUGACAAGACGAAAGAAUGACCGAUCAAUAUAGGUGUUGUCCCGAAAACUCAAAAUGAUAGGAAGAUGGUCGAUCGAUAUAAGUGUAGCCUCGACUCAAACUCAAACUGAUAAGAUAAUGACAGAUCAAUAUAGGUGCAGCCCCAAAACGCAAACUCGAACUGACAAGAUGAUGACCGAUCGAUAUAGAUGCGGUCCCAGAAACUGAACUAACAUGACAAGGAGAUGGUCGAUCGAUAUAGGUGCGACCCCGACUCAAACUCAAAUAGACAAAAUGAUGAAUGACUGAUUGAUAUAAGUGCGGUCCCAAAAACUAAACUGACAUGACAAGGAGAUGGCCGAUCUAUAUAGGUGCGGUCCCAGAAACUAAACUGACAUGACAAGGAAAUGGUCGAUCGAUAUAGGUGCGGCCCUUACUCAAACUCAGACAGACAAAACGAUGAAUGACCGAUCGAUAUAGGUGCGGUCACAACUCAAGCUGAACACAAACUGGUAGGAAUACGGUUGAUCGAUAUGGGUCCUGCCCCAACUCAAACUGACAUGACGAAUGACCGAUCAAUAUAGGUGCGGCCCCAAACUCUAACUGAUAAGACAGUGACCGAUCAAUAUAGGUGCGGUCCCAGAAACUAAACUGACAUGACAAGGAGAUGACCGAUCGAUAUAGGUGUGGCCCCAAACUCUAACUGAUAAGAUAGUGACCAAUCGAUAUAGGUGCGGUCUCGACUCAGACUCAAACAGAACUAACAAGAUGAAUGAAUGACCGAUCGAUAUAGGUGCAGUCCCGACUCAGACUCAAACAGAAUUGACAAGAUGAAUGAAUGACCGAUCAAUAUAGGUGCGACCCCAAACUCUAACUGAUAAGACAGUGACCGAUCAAUAUAGGUGCGGUCCCAGAAACUAAACUGACAUGACAAGGAGAUGACCGAUCGAUAUAGGUGUGGCCCCAAACUCUAACUGAUAAGAUAGUGACCAAUCGAUAUAGGUGUGGUCCCAACUCAGACUCAAACAGAACUAACAAGAUGAAUGAAUGACCGAUCGAUAUAGGUGUAGUCCCGACUCAGACUCAAACAGAAUUGACAAGAUGAAUGAAUGACCGAUCGAUAUAGGUGCAGUCCCGAAAGAUUCAAACAGACAAGGAAAUGAUAAAAAGAUGGUCGAUCGAUAUAGGUGUGGCCCUGAAAGACUCAAAUAGACAAGGAAAUGAUAGGAAGGUGGCCAAUCGAUAUAGGUGCAACCCCAAAACACAAACUAACAUGGAAAAUGAUAGGAAGAUGGUCGAUCAAUAUAGGUGCGACCCCGACUCAAACUGAACACGAAAGUGAUAGGAAAAUGGCCGAUCGAUAUGGGUGCAAUCCCAAAAAAUUCAAACAGACAAGGAAAUGAUAGGAAGAUGACCGAUCAAUAUAGGUGCGACCCUAAAAGACUCAAACAGACAAGGAAAUGAUAGGAAGAUGGUCGAUCGAUAUAGGUGCAGCCCCGAAACUCUAACUAAACUUAAAUUGACAAGAUGAUGACCGAUCGAUAUAGGUGCAGUCCCAAAAACUCAAAAUGAACUCAAACUGAUAGGAUGAAAGAUCUUAUCAAGUGGCUCAAAGCCAAAGGAUAACCAAGAUAACGAUGCAAGCAAACUCGGCCAGAUGGAAUAUGUCCCAGUAUGACAACUCAUGAGGAUCGACAACUAGGUCGAAAGAUAACUAAGCUCAUGAAAGGUCCGAUGAUCCUAGGGAAGGAGGGUAUGCCCUAGUAUGCAACUCAAGGGAGUCAACAACUAGAUCAAAAAGUGAAUGAAACCUAUGGAAGGUCCGAUGAUCCUAGGGAAGGGGGAUAUGCCCCAGUAUGCAAUGACGAAAAAACAGAGAUGAAAAAUGCCUCCAAACCACUGUACUCUGAAAUAUGCUCAUCCAUCAUGUAAUGAAAAUGUCCAACCUCAGAUGGGUAAUGCCAAACAGGACCAUGUGUCACGACACCAUGCUAACAAAAGAAAACUAGCUGAUGAAUAACAACAAUAAUGAUGACCAGUGCUCAAAAUGAAAAGAGCAAGCAAAUCAACACUCAACAUGCCAACUAUCAAAAUGAAAGCAUCGUCACUAAUAAGUCAACAAUCUGUCAGGCCCUGCUAUCAUGGAAAAUGUUGAACCUAAAGUCCAAAAGAUGUAUGAAAACACAACCAAGGUGAUCGAGGACUGAUCUACGUCUCCUUCUAAUCAAGAUAGGGGUAAGGUCAUGUGUCACGGUGGGAUGUGUAGGAUAAAAUAAAGUGAUGAUCAAGCUCUGGUAUGAUAGAAGGCAUGAGAGUAUCCAGGGUGAAAUGUCUGAGUAUGAAAUAAAAUGUAUAUAAGUAUCUGAGAUCAUCCAGGUAUGCCGAGAAGACUAAACCCAAGGUGUCAAUAGCUCCAUAAUCCAUCGAAAGCAACAAUCACAAACAAAAAGUCAAAUCUCGAUGUCGAAACAUCCAACUAGGUGGUUAUGCCUCAGUAUGCAAUGUGGACAACAUGAAACAAUCCAAUAAUCUCCAUAUCAUCCGAUAGAUGCUCCAAUGUAAAGAACCAAUCUGAUCUCUCUCCAAAAGAUGGAUAUGCCCCAAUGUAAAGCAGUGCAUCCGAGUCGACAACUGCUGAAGGAGAUCAUGCUAGUGUAUGUCAACAAAUCAAUCAAUCUCUACUCCUGGUGCCAAAACGGAAACAUCUCAACAUAAUCCAUAUGAAUCAGAAUCCGAAGGCUCUAUGAAUGUGAAUGAGGUGGCUAUGCCCCAAUAUAAACCACCUGAAGUGACUAUGCUCCAAUGAAAAAUCAAAGUCCAUCACCAAUGAGAGGGCUACGCCUCAAAAUAAAUCGUCAUCUCAAGAAUCAACCAUCAAUGAGUAGAGUGUGUCCCAAUGCAGAGUAUCGAGUAGAGUGACUAUAUCUCCAAUAAAAGCGCUCUCUGAAAUGGCUAUGCCCUAGUGUAAAGUAGUAUAUCUGAGUCAACAAAUCAAUCAAUCUCUACUCCUAGUGCUAAAAAUGGAAACAUCUCAACAUAAUCCAUAUGAAUCAAAAUCUCUGAGCUCUAUGAGUACGAAUGAAUUGGUUAUGCCCCAGUAUAAACCAUCUGAAGUGACUAUGCUCCAAGAUAAAUCAAAGUCCACCACCGAUGAGAGGGCUAUGCCUCAAAAUAAAUUGUCAUCUUGGAAAUCAACCAUCAAUGAGUAGAGCGUGUCCCAAUGCAAAGUAUCGAGUAGAGUGACUAUAUCUCUAAUAAAAGCACUCUCUGAAAUGACUAUGCUCCAGUGUAGGGUCAUCCCACAACUCCUAAUCGAUCAUAAUCCAAUUGAAGAAGCGAACUGACUAUGCCUCAGUGCAAGGCAUCAUCCCGAAAGAAAACGUCAUCGAUGAGCGGGGUAUGCCCCAGUGUAGAUAACGUCACAUCUGAAAAUUCAUCACUGAUAAGAGGGGUAUGCCCCAGUGUAAAUCAUCAUCUCAACUCCCCAUCCAUCAUGCUCCAAGAAAUAAUCUCUGACCAAGCUCGAGUAUUGCCCACUUGUGAGCUAUCAAACACAAUGUGAAGUAAUGGCCUCAGGGUGGUCUUCAGACAUAGGACGUAACGUAGGCCAAGGUAAUAGGGUGAAAGAAAUGAAAGGAAACUAGGCUCAAAGACCCCAAUGAUAUAAUCCCCAUACCCCUCGUGCAUGAGAUGCAAUGCGUAGAAAACGUCAUGAGUCCCGAACCUAGGGGUCCCCACACAAAAAGUGACAAUAAAUGAAUUGUCACAAUCGAAUAAGGAAGAAUAAAGUGUGGAUGCUGAACCCAUGUCAAACAUCAAGCAGGACGAGAAAAUAAUGAAAUCAAAUGAGGUAGAGUGAAAUGGAGGAAUAAAAUUAAGAUAGAAGAAUGCGAAGAGAUAUAAAAAUGAGUGAUGGUCAACCCGCAUCAAAGCAUGGAAAAUAGUCACAUCUGAAAUAUAUGGAAUGAUGGAUAGAGCAAGGAUCCGGAGAUACUAAAGAAAGGUCGUUCGCCUCUCUCACAAAAAACGAAUUGGCGACUCAUACCCUCACCCAAAAUAUACCAAGAUAGAUCUCAGAAAAAAAGCUCUCAUACGAACUCUCUCUAACACAUGAACUCAAUGAAGCAAACUAGCACAUCCAUACACAUGCCCAAUGGAGAAUAAUAAAAUGAACAAUGCGCCAUUUUUUAUUAUUAUUAUUAUUUUUAUUUUUUAUUUUUUUUUUGCGCAUACUCUGAUCAAUAUUGAAUAAUCUCACAUGAAAUACAUAGUCAAAUGAAUAAACUCUCCUCAUGUACUGAUGCAACAUGAAUCCUCACUAACAAGACAACCUCUCAAAAUAAAAUCUUUGAACCACUGCUAAUAAGGCGAACGGGAGGAAGAACGUGACAAUCCUCCAUGCAGUGACGUGUGAGAAACCACCACUCAAAGUGAAAUAAGGAUAAUGUCGAGUAAGCAAUGAUGAAAGAAAAGUCAUAGAAUGAAUAUCACAAGUGGUGAUAUGUGAUAUCGGAAAAUAGUGAUGAAAUGAUGUCCAAGUGGAAAAUAUCACAAUGAAGAGUGAAGAAUGAGGCCUGAAUAUGUGUGUCAAGUCUGGAACUCAUGACGUAUCCAAUCAUAGCAUGCAAGCACUAUAAGGUCUCCAACCCGGUGUAAUAGGUAAAUGAGGUGAUGAAAGAAAAUGUUAUGAUGCUCGUGUGAAGCUCAAAAGGCUAGCAACGGGUAACUCUAUAUGUGAGGGUGAUAGGGUAAAUGGGCUCAUGAAAUGAUGGCCACCCAUCCUUUGACCACAACCUCGAACAUCGUGCUUUCAAGAUCUCACAUAGCCAAUACUAAAGAUUGGCAUCCGUCCAACAAAGUCAUGUCAACUCCUCUAAAAUCGUGUGAAAGCUCCCACUGAUGUUCUAUGAUAACCAUCAAUGUCCUCUGAAAAUCAACUCACUCUAUCAUCACAAGUCACUCACCAUCAUCUCAUAAAAUCACCAUCUCUAAUCAUCUCGACUCUCUAAAGUCAUAUGCAAUGGCUCAUAUCUGGAUGCUCCAUGAUAACCCCUCUAUCUCAACAAUAUCAUCAAGCAGUCAAACCACCCUCUCAUCGCGAUCCAUCUAUCAUCAUGGAAAGCUCACCUCAGGUCUAAACAUCUCAGACUCUACCUGGUCAAAUCAAAGAAAUGAUGGGAAGCAUAGGUAAUGGUACUGUAGUAUACAAAGGCAAAUAGGGAUGGUAAGGUCGUAUAAUAGUACUAAGGGGUGGUGUCAUGUUAGGCUUAAAAUGGGUAGGUCAUCAAGCCUGAAAAGUUAGGAUAUGGAUAUAGAUACUGUACUGCUCUGAUUAGAAGGUGAAAUGGGUCACAAUCUCGAACUCCUUAGGUCGAUCUCCUAAUCCUAGGUUAAUAGGCUCAAUAUCCUCCAUGAUAGGUCAGACCAAAGUGAUCAUGAUGCAUAAGUGAAAAUAUGUCUCAUAUCGAAAGCAUAGCACAUCAACGCAAGAUAUGCAAAACAUACUCAUCAGAAAAUAGAAUAACACAUACUCAAAAUAAAAAGAUCAUAUCACUAAAUGAACCAAAUGAGUACAUCAUGUGUGAAGCGAUAAAGGACUACAAACGACUAGACUCUCAGCAUGAACUAUAAACAACAACUCUGAACCAAACUGGACUCAACAAAGCAACUCUAAUGAACUAAAGACUAGACUCGACAGAACAGGAACGGCUCCGAUGACAACCAUAAAUCAAAAUGAAAUGUGCUUUGAGCUAAACCGCUGCAAAAUGAUGUACCCAUGUCAACUGAACCAAGUCCUCAACUCAGAAUAUCCCAAAAUACCAUAUGACCAUCAAUAUCAUCAACAUCUAAAUAAAUUUACUGAAGACUAGGAGGAGGGGGAAUUGCAUGUGUAGAAUGCGUAGGCAGGGGAUUGGUGGUCACACUUGGCCCAGCCAAGUUGACCAACCCCGAAUCGAUCAAGUCUUGUAUUGCAUGAUGGAGUGCCUGAUUGGAGCCCAAAUAUGUGCUCUAAUGGCACAUAUUCGAUAUGAUUUGUGCACCAAAGGACAUUCAAAUCACCCAAAUUGACCUAAAUCAAUGCUAAGGCCCUAGCCAUGAGUUUAAUCUGUACUUUGGAGACUUAUCUCAAGUUCAAGGGAAGAAAAUUGUGCAAAUUUAAUGACUUUAGAUUUUGAAAUAUCAAGAAAGGGCUAAAUGAGGAAAUAAGUGAGUCAAGACUCAUUGAACGUAAGGAAAGGCAAAACGAGGAUAUCAUGAGGUUGAAAGAUGAUAAAUGACCAUUAUGGAGUAAGAAAGAAGGCAAGAAAGCAUGGGAAAUGAGGCAUGAAGCAAGAUUUAGCUGCAUAGAAAUUUAUAACUCAAAAAUCUGAUGGCAUUAUAUACUCUGAUUUUGAGGACAAAUUUGGAGCACUUUCUGGAGUCCAUUAUAUACAUACUAUAUAUCGUUUCAAAGUUCAGGAAGUCAGAAGUCCAACUCUUUAAACGGUUUGCAAAUCGAAGUUGAAAUGAAGAAGUUAUGGCCAUUUGAAGACAACUGCACCAAGCUAGAGGGUCAUUUCGAAAUGAUUUCGAAAUUCAACUUAUGAAUUCGAAAUCCACUUCGAAAUGACACCAAUUUCGAAUUCACCCACUGCCACUUUGAUGUUCCGCCACCUCUACCUCAAGAAUUGCAUCUAGGGCUCUUCAUCCACCUUAAGUGAGCCCCACACGACUAGAAAUCACCAUUUUAUUAUUUUUUUAAUCAUUUUUAGGAAAUUAUUUUGUAAUAAGUGGCUAAUGAGAGUGUGCCACAUGUUAGGUAAUUGAUAAUAUUAUAUAAACUCUCUCAAUUCUAGGUUUGAGGGAUCUUGGAUUUUUUUCUGGAGAGUUUGACAUUGAAGGUGGAAAAAGACGAGAACUUUGGUUUGUUUUCUUUUUCUUCUUUAUUGAAUAUAUUGUUUUUAGUUUCUUUUGAUUCAAAUUAUGGAUUUUUACCCUAUUAUGGAUUGUGGAUGUGACAUCACCCCCAUGAGAGGCUAAGAGCCAACUUGGGGCUUGAAGCAUGAAAACCUAAGGGUUAGGAAACCUAUAGGGACAAUGGGUAAAUUAUUAUAACAAUGAGAUUAAUUAUUGGUUGGGUGACAAUUUAUCAUUUUUUUUAUCAUAUCCUUGUGAGUUCGUUUAGGGAAUAAUACAGUAAGUUAUUACUUGAUACUCGUGAUUCUUGGUAAUUCUUGAUCAUUAGUUAUCAUCGUCUUCUCUACCGUUAUUUGCCCCUAAACAAAGCUAUAAGGAGUAGGAAGGGUUAAAAAGUCAAAUCUUAAAUUGAUAAUCAAUCUCAUUCAUUUUAUGGUUUUAGGAAUCUGUUUUAAAAAGGAAAAAUUAGGUUUCAGAUGCAAUUUUGAGUUAUAGAACUCAACUUGAUCGCGAGUGGCCAAGGAUCCCAAAACCCUAAGAUCAUAUUACUUAAAAUACCCUUGUUUUCUCUAAUUUAUAUACCCUAGGUUGGAUUGUGGAAAACCCCAAACUUGAAUCAAUUGAAUUUAAAAUCAAUAUUCAUUUUUUCUUAUUAAUUUAAUUUCUUUUACUUAGUUUCACAUUAUUCACAUAUUGUUUUUCACUUAAGGAUUUAAACAAAAACAAUUCAUAUAUUCUAGUAUUGACAAUUUUCAUAAGUCAAUCCUUGAGAACGAUACCUGGAAUACUACAAAAGUCGUAGUGACUCUUUCUCUAGUUUUUCUUGACUAGAGUUACUACGUAAAAAGGCUAAGUAUUUUGGUACAAUAGAGAAUUUCGGUCAGUGCCGAACAACGCUCAGUAUCAUGUCCCUGAAUCUGAUGAUACAAGCAAUGCUCAUGGGAGCAAAAAUGUAGAGGAAUAGGAUGUAGUAAAGGGCGUGGCGCCAAAAGAACGAUCAAACCACCAUCUCUGAGCUUCUCAAAAGCUCUAGUCAAAGUCAUGCCCAAGGGAGUGAACUGUCUCGCGGGCCUCUAUGCAUAUAGUCUAGGCGGUGGGUGAGUAGUGGCUCUCAGAUGUGACAGUCGUGGUUGCAUGCUGGUCUGAGUAAUGUAAGGCUCCUAAACAUAAACCGGUUGAUACUGAUACUGCGGAUGAGGGAAAUGAGCUCUGACUGUAGGAGGCCUAUAAAGUGAGUGAUGUGCAGGCCUCCGAUGCUGAUAGCUAAUAGCGCCAACCUCUCCAAGUCUACUAGAUGAUCCAAACGGCUUCUUCCCCUUAUUGUCAAUGGAAGGAGUAGCAUCUAUCCAUAAUCCUCGAGCAAUGGCCUCCUCAACACUGAAAGCUGCCUGAACCAGACUCCUGAGAUCCUGAAAUAGAAUGCCCACAAGACGCCUAGCGAACCUCGGCUGUAGGUUCCAAAGAACCAUAUCAAUCUGAUCCUACUCCUUAGGCCGGUCUAUCAUACCAGCCUCCUUUGCCCUCCAACGACUAACAAAUGAUGAAAUAGACUCGUCUGGCCUCUGUCUGGUGGCCUCCAACUCUCGUCUGGAUACAUCAAUAUCGGCACUGAAAUCAAACUGGGUCAGGAACUCGUGAGCCACAUCCUCCCAGGUGCAAAGUCUCAAAGGCUCAACUGAAGCAAACCAUUUCUGAGUUGCCCCACUAAGUGACAUAGGGAAGAAGGUCACCAACUGUGCAUCAUCUAUCCCAUGUGCUCUCAUGACUGUGCUGUAUAGUCUCAAGUGGAUCUUGGGAUAACCAAUCCCACUAUAGCGCUCAAUGUCUGGCAUGCGAAACUUGGCGGGCAAGCUAGCCAUUGGUAUACCAUCCCUAUCAUCCCAAGUCAGACCUUCAUCCUACAAUCUGAUCUGUCUCAUCCUGGACUCAAACCUCUCGACCCUGGCCUCCUGCUCGGCCAAUCUAGCAUCAUCAGUAGUAGGAACCAUGGGAGGUGACACUGUGGCAGCAGGUGGUGGAGUAGUCUCACAAUGAUCUGAUAAAUGGAAUGGAACGCCAUGUAAAGUCCCAGGUGGAAAAACCUACGCUGUCUGAGAUACAUGGGGAACUGUAUCAUCAAUGCUAAUGACAACUGGAUGAUAAUCCUAGCGAGAACUUUCUAUCUGAUCCAAACGUCUACUAAUCCCUGCCAUGAACUCCUGAAUAGAGGCAAGUGUGGAAGCUAGCUCAUCUGACAUCUCGACCGAAUGGUCUGAACUCUUAUGUGAAUCUGCUCUGAUCAAUCGACCUUCAACUCUCCUCCAAGGAUGUGACUCCAAACUCAAACAACUCCUAAAAUGACUCCCUAAAACCCAAACGAAAUGGAUGAAGGACACAAAAUAAGACCUUAAAAGACAACAAUACAACAUGCAAGCACAUGAUCCUGGGGUGGCAAUCCGAAAUCUAGAUUUAUGAUGAGAACUCUAGAGUCAUAAAGGUGUCCACUGCAAGAUGGCUACAAAUGUGACUAGAGAAUUCCCAUCAAUAAUCUAAGAUAAAAUAGGUAUGAGAAACACACUAUCAUGAGAUCAAUACUCCAUCUAUAAACACAUAUCUUUAACUCAACUUUCAACCUGAGCUCCAUAAGACAAAAAAUGAUAAGGUGAUCAAGGCGAAUCUCUCGAAAAAUAUGUGGAUAAGAAAAUGUGCCUUUCACCUUUCCGUAGUGAAAAUAUGAGCAUCGAGUUGAAAAUUGAAUCAAGUAUCCAACAAAGAAUGAGGUACUGAGCCCGUGAUAGAUGUACAGUGCAAAAACAAGAUGAUCAUGAUCGAUGAACAUAUCCCGAAACAUCAAGUAAGUGAUAGCAAAGUGAAAGGAUGUGUCGAGCCAAGAAAGAAAAAUGAAAGCCCUAGGGAGAAAGCAUGACAAACUCAUCGAGUGAAAAACAUAAUCCAAGGUGACACAAAAAAAGUGAUCCAACCAAUACUUGAUUACUACUCAAAAAGUGUUAUUUCAUAGCUUGUAAUUAACUCUUUUAAACACUUUUGAGUAGUAGUUAUUGCCUUUUAACCCAAUUAACAUGUUAAGGACCCUUGCAAUCAAUUCUAAUCAAAUUGUGUUAAGUUUUGGUGUUUUGAUAGCUUUUUGAUCACCAAAGCAAUCCGAGAUUGAGGAGAGUUAUUUGGAAUCCAUGGCAAAGCAAUGGAAAGCUCAAAUUCAUGAAGAACCAAGCUUUGGAGAUCCAUAGCCCUUUGCCAAAGUCGUUCAAAGUAUGCAAGGAAAGAACAACGGAGAGAGGAAAAAUAGAGUGAAGAAAACAGAGGACAGCAACUGUAGUCUUCUUUUGCACUUUUGGAGCACUUCCCGAAGUCCAUUUUCUACAUGCUAUAUACCAUUUCAAAGCUCAGGAAGUCAAGAAUUCAACACUUCAAACGAUGUGCGAUUCAGAGUUGAAACAAAGGAGUUACAGCCAUUGCAAGAAGAUCACCACUCCAAGCUGAAGGAAGAUUUUUGCACAGCUGCGAAAUUAGUCUUUUGCUGCAAGAAUUUCGCAGCCAUUUUGUACAGUGCACAGGUGUUCUCCUGAAGCUUCCCGAUAGUUGCGACCGACACUUUUGGAUAUUUUUCUUCAGAUAUUUUUGUAUAAAUUUCCAUUCUUCUCCUUGUAACCCACCAAUUAUAGGAUUCCUUAGUUAUUAAGUUUGGAAAAGGGGUGAAUAACCUCAGAUAUUUUGUUUUGUAAUUUUCUUUAUAUAUAGCUAUCGGGAGCUUGUUCUCAGGGCAUGAUGUAAUCCAACGGGAUAUAGAUAGAUAAAUAUAUAGAAUAUACAGAGCCUUGCUCUGUUUUUUCCUUCUCUUUCAUUUUCAUUUUCUUGCUAGCCAAACAUUCUGUGAGAUUUUUUCUCAGAUGAUGAGUGGCUAGGAUUUUUGUUUCUUGGGUGAAGGAAGCUAAGUAAGGUUCCGGCUACAUAAGUGUGAGAUUUUGUUGUUUCCGUUUUGAAUGAAGAGAAAGUGUGAUCCUUUAGUGUUUUCUAUAUUUUUAGUUAACUUAAAACGCCUUGGAGUCACCUGGGCCAACACUUGGUAAGGCAAGUGAUCUCCGUCCAUGGAGAUGCACUAGUUUACCCCUUGCGAGCCUUUGGGAGGUGACUUGAAGGUAGGAUUUUCUAGAAUAACCAACACUUGGUAAGCUUUUGGACUCCAAGGAGACAUCCAUUAGUUAUCUCUUGCGAGCUUUUGACGGGUAAUCCAAGGUUAAAGAUCACCUUGAAUGGCAAGUGCUAGGUGAGAGGUAUGAGUCAUUGCAAGAUGCAUCAGUGAGAGAGAUUUAGUGUUUGAACCCAUUAAUGGGAAGCAUCUGUACAACACCGGUUGGAGAAGGAACUAUAUGUUAAUUCUCUAAUGCGAGGAAAAGAAACAAGUGACCGGAACUCCCUUUUUGUAUGAGGAACCUGAGCCUAGUGAUCUAAACUCCAAGAAACAUUUUUCUUUGUAAGUAAAAUCAGUUACUAUUUUUGGUUGGUUUAAAACCAAACCUUUUUUCAGUCAAACAUCUUUAUGUUUUCUUUUAAAACUAACCUUGAAAUGAAAAUGCACCAAUUCAGCUUUGAAUUAAUAUCAUUUGCAAAGUGAAAACCCAUCCCAGUGAACGAUCCUAGAGCCGCUAUGCUAUAGUAGCUUUGUCUUUGCUACCUUAGUAUAUGGUGUAAUAGGUUAUAAAUUUUGUUGAUUACUCCCUCAAUCAAGGAGCACUAGCUGGACACGAAUCAGCUGAGACACCAAUUGGGCACGAAUCAAAUGGCGUCGUUGCCGGGGAUCGAACCCCGAAUCAAAUGGUGUCGUUGCCACUGCCGCUGCUAGGGAUGAAUCAAAUGGCGCCGUUGCCGGGGAUGGUGCCACUUUACAGUGAUAUCACCUUUUCAGAGUACUUGUGAUCUUCAUCACAAGUUUGGUGACUUUUCUUUUUCUUUUACUAACUCUUUUUAUAUGUUUCUUUUUCUUUGUUCAUAUUUUAGUAUACCUUUUAUUUAGUUUUUAGUUUACCUUAAUUUUCUUUCUUUGAAUUGUUUUUCUUUUGUUUUCUUUUGUGUUCUCUGUUUUUAAUUCACAAAUUGCUAAGUUGUGCAUGCCAUAUUGAAUACCAUAGCAGAGGAAGCCAUGAACUUCAUGAGUUAUGUGGCUGAAGUCUCAAGAGAAUGGGGUGAACCAAAUGCUAGAGAUAAGGGAAGAAUGACGUCUCAACCUAAAGCUAAGGGUGAGAUGUAUAUUUUGAAUGAUGGUAUGAACAUGAAGGCAAAGAUUGCAGCUAUGGAAAGGAGAUUGGAAGAGCUAGAAAUGAACCAAAUGCAAGAAGUGCAAGCCAUCUCUCUAACACCAUUGCUACCUAUGCCUUGUUCCAUUUGUCGAUCAUAUGAGCACUUGGUGGAUGAGUGCCCUACCAUUCCAACCGAGAGGGAAAUGUUUGGUGAUUGCAACACCUACAAUUCCAAUUGGAGGGACCAUCCAAAUUUCUCUUGGAAACCACAGCCGCCUCAGUACAAGCAACAUGUUCAAGCACUUCCGCAAGCCUCAAUCCUUGAACAAGCUAUGGUGAAUCUUAGCAAGUUCGUGGGAGACUUUAUUGGAGCUCAGAAAUCCAUCAAUGUUCAGCUCAGUCAAAGAAUUAACAGUGUAGAGAGUUCAUUGAUUAAAAGGAUGGAUGAAGUGCAAAAUGAUCUAUCUCAGAAGAUAGAUAUUCUCCAAGAUUCAAUCUCAAGGCUUGCCAACCUCAACACAGUGCAAGAGAAAGAAAACUCUCCUUCUCAACCUUAUCAAAAUUCCAAGGGCAUCCAUGUAGUGGAGGCUCAAGAGGAAGAAUCUUCAAUGGUGAAGGAAGUUAAAACGGUUAUCACUUUGAGUGGUAAAGAGGUUGAUCUGCCCACAUGCAAGCUAGAGCAUAAGGUAGAGAGUGAAACAGAGAAAGAAAAGAGGGAGGAAAUCAAAGGAAAGAAAAAGGGGAAAAGUACAGAGAAAGAUGACUAUAUAGAUGAAGAACCACAGAGGAUAGUCAUCAAGGAAGAAUUGAUGAAGAAACACAUGCCUCCACCUUUUCUCCAAGCUUUGUAUGGGAAAAUCAUACAAACCAAGUCUCAAGUGAAGGAUGCAAACUUCAUAUGGGAUCCGGGCAAGCUAAAUCAGGAGCAAUUUUUUUGAUGGAAUUAGUCUUUUUAAAGACUAGCUAGUCCAUAUCUUUUUGUUUUGUUAAUUUUUUGUUUUAAUUUUGAUUUCAAUGCUUUAAUUUUGAUUUCAAUGCUUUAACAGUGUGCGAUUCAGAGUUGAAACGAAGGAGUUACAGCCAUUGCAAGAAGAUCACUCCAAGUUGAAGGAAGAUUUUUGCACAGCUGCGAAAUUAGUCUUUUGCUGCAAGAAUUUCGCAGCCAUUUUGUACAGUGCACAGGUGUUCUCCUGAAGCUUCCCGAUAGUUGCGACCGACACUUUUGGAUAUUUUUCUUCAGAUAUUUUUGUAUAAAUUUCCAUUCUUCUCCUUGUAACCCACCAAUUAUAGGAUUCCUUAGUUAUUAAGUUUGGAAAAGGGGUGAAUAACCUCAGAUAUUUUGUUUUGUAAUUUUCUUUAUAUAUAGCUAUCGGGAGCUUGUUCUCAGGGCAUGAUGUAAUCCAACGGGAUAUAGAUAGAUAAAUAUAUAGAAUAUACAGAGCCUUGCUCUGUUUUUUCCUUCUCUUUCAUUUUCAUUUUCUUGCUAGCCAAACAUUCUGUGAGAUUUUUUCUCAGAUGAUGAGUGGCUAGGAUUUUUGUUUAUUGGGUGAAGGAAGCUAAGUAAGGUUCCGGCUACAUAAGUGUGAGAUUUUGUUGUUUCCGUUUUGAAUGAAGAGAAAGUGUGAUCCUUUAGUGUUUUCUAUAUUUUUAGUUAACUUAAAACGCCUUGGAGUCACCUGGGCCAACACUUGGUAAGGCAAGUGAUCUCCGUCCAUGGAGAUGCACUAGUUUACCCCUUGCGAGCCUUUGGGAGGUGACUUGAAGGUAGGAUUUUCUAGAAUAGCCAACACUUGGUAAGCUUUUGGACUCCAAGGAGACAUCCAUUAGUUAUCUCUUGCGAGCUUUUGACGGGUAAUCCAAGGUUAAAGAUCACCUUGAAUGGCAAGUGCUAGGUGAGAGGUAUGAGCCAUUGCAAGAUGCAUCAGUGAGAGAGAUUUAGUGUUUGAACCCAUUAAUGGGAAGCAUCUGUACAACACCGGUUGGAGAAGGAACUAUAUGUUAAUUCUCUAAUGCGAGGAAAAGAAACAAGUGACCGGAACUCCCUUUUUGUAUGAGGAACCUGAGCCUAGUGAUCUAAACUCCAAGAAACAUUUUUCUUUGUAAGUAAAAUUAGUUACUAUUUUUGGUUAGUUUAAAACCAAACCUUUUUUCAUUCAAACAUCUUUAUGUUUUCUUUUAAAACUAACCUUGAAAUGAAAAGGCACCAAUUCAGCUUUGAAUUAAUAUCAUUUGCAAAGUGAAAACCCAUCCCAGUGAACGAUCCUAAAGCCGCUAUGCUAUAGUAGCUUUGUCUUUGCUACCUUAGUAUAUGGUGUAAUAGGUUAUAAAUUUUGUUGAUUACCCCCUCAAUCAAGGAGCACUAGCUGGACACGAAUCAGCUGAGACACCAAUUGGGCACGAAUCAAAUGGCGUCGUUGUCGGGGAUCGAACCUCGAAUCAAAUGGUGUCGUUGCCACUGCCGCUGCUAGGGAUGAAUCAAUACUCAAACUCACACCGAUCUCUGAGCACUCUCAACUGGAGACUAAAAAAAGGGAGUGUUGAAUCCGAACUAUGACCACAAAGUCUCUGAAAACCCUCAGAUGCACCCACGUGUAGAGAGGGAGUCCUAAUCGAAGGAUCUACGGCUCAACCUACGAGGUCAAGGUGGCCCUAAAAGGAAAUGGGUGGACUUUAAAAUAUCCCUAGCAGAAGCGAUUGUACCCUCCAGCAGUACGCAACCCUCUGCACGCCUCUGAAGACACGGGGUGCUUCCAUGCAAGGUGGUCAUCACCUCCACACAUGCACUACCUCGACAUCCCAUGGGGGUUUCCUAUGGUGAAACCUCUCAACGCUCAAUGGUCGACUAGAGUGCACAGUGAAUGGUGUGGGUGCAUCUGAAAACCCUAGGAAGCUAAAAUAGAAGAGAAAGCACACUGGUCACAUAAAUAUCCAUGAAACCUAGCUCUGGGCUAUACAGGUCUUCAAUGAUCAGACUUCAAUCGACAUCAAAGUGUCACUCUCCUCCAGAAUGCUCUCGUACAUCAAUAUAGCUCGUCACUAGACCCUACUCCUAAACCUCUAGCUCGAUCAGAGAACAAGCACACACAAGGCCUCACACUUGCAAAAGUGAAAACCAGAAUGAAGAAAAUGACCGAGACCAAGAGGGUUGGAGGUAGAGGGAUAGAUGUGUGGCCCACACAGACAAACAACAUGCAAUCAAGUAGAAGAAGGGCAGUCAUGCGGCAUGCAGUCAAAUAGUGGACAGAAUAUAUCACUCAUGCACACAUACAAACUAUGACAAUCAGAUGAAAAGUGAUACAAACAUCAUGCUCAAAGACGAUAGAGAGAAUACACAAGUAAGUGAAUCAACAUGUCAAGUCAAGGGAUAUACAAUCAUGAGUCAAUACAUGUGAAGUGAUCAAAACAAACAUAGCAAAAUCAGAGUUGCUAUACUAAACAAUGUAAGAUAAUCAAUCAAUACAACCACACGAGCAUGGCAAUGAAGCACAGAAGAAAUAGAUAUCUCAAAAUCCUCAACCAAGACAAAUCAAUCAUCAUAAAUAGCAUGUCAAAUAUCUCAAACAAAUAUAUCAAUGGAGCGUAAAAAGAAUCACUAUAUCAAAAUCCUUAAUCAAGAUGAUCAACCAACACGAUCAACAUGUUAAUGUCCCAAGUGAAAACUCGGGAACUCACAAUGUGCAAUCAAGAGACAGGUAUCCAUUGAUCGACUCAUCAAAUGCCACAUUUGUUUCAUCUUAAGUUCAAGCUUGACCCUCUAAACAAUCCCCAGUGGAGUCGCCAUUUUGUGGACCCCGCAUUUCGGCUUAUGCGUUUUCACUCGAUGGCGAGCUCGAUUUUGAUUUGAAAAAUGAUUUUAUUUAUUAGAAAAUGACUUGGAGUCGCCACUUUUUUUUCUUUUUUUUUAAAGGGUAAACAAAAUAAGAAAGAAAACCCUAAGUGUGACUCCUUAUUUUGGAAAAGAUGGUCUGCAAAAAAUCGGAUCAAGUUCGAGGAUCAGGUUACUUAUUGGGAAGGUACGGUAAAGACCGUAGCAUCCCUCUAAGUCCCUAAAAAUGGGUCUCUACUAAUAAAAUGAAACAAUCAUGGCAAUUGAUUAAUCGAGCAUGGAUACCAAAUGAAUAUCACUCAAGACAAAAUAACUGAAUAAAUAGGAGAGGCAAAGAAUGUACCCGAGUGAUGAACUGGUUUACUUCAAGGGAAACAAAUGUUAGCAAUCAAACACAGAAUAAUUGCAUCCAUGUCAUAGAGUCGAAUAGAGUAAAUCAAUCAUAUAUAGUAAUCAAAUCAAUCGAUCAAUUAAUUAAUCAUAAAAUCACAUAUGUCGGGCCCCUCACCAAAGCCCAUUUAUUUUGCAUUAAUUAAUAUCACAAAUUCCAUUAUUCUGGAAUUAUGAAAAAUUCAUUCAUACUUAUUAAAAUCAAGAGGAGCAGAAAAUUGUUUGAAAAUCAAAGUGGAAUUAAAACCAUUUGAGAGAAAAUUGGAUUUUUGAAAUUUAUUUGAAAAAUUGGAGUCUCGAAGAUUACUUGAAAGAAAUUGGAGUUUUAAAAUUAAAUUUCGGAAAUGGAAUUUUGGAAAUUAAAUUCAAAAGAAAUUGGAUUUUGGAAAUUAAAUUUGAAAUAAAUCAUAAUUUUGGAAAUUAAAUUUGAAAGAAAUGAAAUUUUGGAAAUUAAAUUGAAGAAUUUGAAUUUUGAAAAUUAAAUUUAAAGGAAAUCGGAAUUCCGGAAAUUAAAUUUAGGAAACGGAAUUUUGGAAAUUAAAUUUAGGAAAUGGAAUUUUGGAAAUUAAAUUUAGGAAAUGGAAUUUUGGAAAUUAAAUUUAAAAGAAAUUGGAUUUUGGAAAUUAAAUUUGAAAGAAAUCAGAAUUUUGGAAAUUAAAUUUGAAAGAAAUGAAAUUUUGGAAAUUAAAUUAAAGAAUUUGAAUUUUGGAAAUUAAAUUUGAAGGAAAUCUGAAUUCUGAAAAUUAAAUUUGAUAGAAAUUGGAGUUUUAAAAAUUAAAUUUAGGAAAUGGAAUUUUGGAAAUUAAAUUUAAAAGAAAUUGGAUUUUGGAAAUUAAAUUUGAAAUAAAUGAAAUUUUGGAAAUUAAAUUGAAGAAUUUGAAUUUCGAAAAUUAAAUUUGAAGGAAAUCGGAAUUCCGGAAAUUAAAUUUGAAAGAAAUUGGAGUUUUAAAAAUUAAAUUUAGGAAAUGGAAUUUUGGAAAUUAAAUUUAGGAAAUGGAAUUUUGGAAAUUAAAUUUAAAAGAAAUUGGAUUUUGGAAAUUAAAUUUGAAAGAAAUCAGAAGUUUGGAAAUUAAAUUUGAAAGAAAUGAAAUUUUGGAAAUUAAAUUGAAGAAUUUGAAUUUUGGAAAUUAAAUUUGAAGGAAAUCGGAAUUCUGAAAAUUAAAUUUGAAAGAAAUUGGAGUUUUAAAAAUUAAAUUUAGAAAAUGGAAUUUUAGAAAUUAAAUCUAAAAGAAAACGGAGUUUUGAAAAUUAAUUGAGAGUCAGAGUUUUGAAAAUUAAAUUUAAGAAUUAGAAAUUUGAAAAAUAAAUAAAUAAAAUAAUAAUAAUGUCAAAAAUAAUAAAGAUUAAAUAAGUGAAUGUAAAAAAAUGGGAUAUUGGGAAUUAGAAAUUAAAUUAAGAAAUAGGAAUUUUGGGAGAAUUGAACUUUAAUAUUAAAACAUGAAGGAAUAAAUAAAUAAAUAAAAUGGUGAAUGGUGGUUGGUAGCUUGCCAUGCAACGUGUUACCUAGGUGCUAAGUGGCAAGUGUAAUUGGAAAAGUGAUCUAAAAAGGCACUAGCACCCAAACCCAAAAUCAUAUGAGAGAAUUGAACUUGUGGGGCCUAUUUUCAUUGUGACAUUCUCAUUCCAAUCACAUACAUUAAUGUUAUUUGUAUUUGGCGGGUCUACGGGACACCAUUCUUUAGCUGGCAGAUUAAGAGUGACCUCCAUCCAAUGCCAUUUGAGCCUCCUAGUCUCUAUACCUGUAGCACUUGACGUCUGAAGACAAUCCUCUCCAAGAAGCCGAGUCAGAUUUCCAGUUGCUUCCUUCGGUUCCUUCUUCUUCCCUCUAGCUAUCUUUUCCUCCCGUCUGGCUCUCUGCUCCUCCUUAGCCAAUCUGUCACCAUCUCAACCACCACGUCCAUGCAUGCUCGCUCCCCCGAAAACCGGCCCCCACUUUCGAAAUGAAAAACACAGCUCUCCCCUUAGUGCGAGAAAAAACUGUCGGUUCCAAGAGGGGUCUACAGUUACAUAUAUUUUUUUUUUUAAUAAAAAAAUAUCAAAAUGUCUAUUAUUACUUGUUACAUAAUUUUUUAAAAUUUCUUUUAACAUUUUCACAAGUUUUUGUCAAUUUUCAUCUCAUUGAUAUUUUAUGUAAAAAUAUCUACCAUUAUUCUCAAUAUAUCUCGAUAUAUCCAUAAAAUUGGGUUACUCAUAUAUCCAUAAUAUUGGGUUACUACCAAGGAUGAAAAUAUCAGUAAUCACGGAUAUAUCGGUACUUCAAUUUUACAAAUAUAUCGGAUAUAUCGGAGAUAUAUCAACGGAUGUUUUGGAAAAAAAUAUCGGUAAGCUUAAAAUUGUUAAAAACUCAUGAAAAUGUAAGGAAAACCUUAUAAUAAUAUAAUUAUAAGUAUAAUAGACAUUUAAAGUUAUUUUAUUGAAAUUUUUUAUAUAUGUAUAAUAUGAUUUAUCAUAUUUGAUAAUAAUAUCGUAUGCAUCGAUAAAAAUAUGAAUUUUAUAAAUGUACAUUUAUUAUUAAAUCACACCUAAUAUUAUGAUAUUUGAUUAUAAUAUGUCUAAUUUUAAAAUAUAUAUUAAUAUUAAAAUAUGAUUCAUUUAAUUCAAUUGUAUUAAACAAUAUAAAAUAAAUUAUGAUAUAUAUAUAUAUAUAUAUAUAUAUAUAUAUAUAUAUAUAUAUAUAUAUAUAUAUAUUUUAAUAUUUAAUUAAUUAUUAAUGAUAUUAAAAACAUUAUGAAGAAAAUUAUAUAAUUUUAUAUUUUUGGUAAUUAAUUAAAAGAUUUUGCAUUUAAUUAUAAAAUAAUUAUAAUUAAUUUACUCUUUAAAAUAUUCUUUUAAUAUUUUCUUUAUAUAAUGAGUUUAAGUAUAUAUAAAAUUAUUGCACAUCAUAUAUCAAAGGGCAAUUAGCCCAGGGAAGCAAAAUGGGGGACAGCACUAUAGCACAUUGACUUCACUGUAGUGUGUUUGACUUUCGUUGACCCGUGUUGACCAUACGAUAUAUCGGAAAAAAUCACCGAUUUCUCGAUAUUUAUCCCGAAAUAUCGCCGGACCAAUAUUUCUCUAUGAAAUAUCAUGUCGAUACCCUUCGAUACACUAUCGCGACAUUUUCUUCCUUGGUUACUACUGAUGGUAUGAAUUUUAACGAACCGAGAAAAUUGGGUUUCAACCAUAUUAGAAAAUAUAUAAUCAAUAAAAAAAAAAUUAGAAGUAUGAUUUCACUCUGUUUAGUUUCAAACUCAUUAGGCAUGCACUCUCCAACUUCCCAACAAAUGAUAAUUAUUUCCAACUUCUUAUUUUCCUAUUAUGAAUCUCUAAAUUAUGUUUGGUUCACCAGAGGGAAAAUAUAAGGAAAAAAAACAAAUAAAAUAAAAAUAAAAAAUAAAUUUAAAACCAAGAAAUUAUUUUUAUUUAUUAUUUCAAAUUUAUUUUAAUUAGUUUAACUCUUCAAGAAUUAAAUAGUUUGAAAAUAUAUAAAUUUUUAAUUACCUUUAAUUAUAUAUUUUUUAUUCGAAGAAAAUCAUUUUUUAAUUUUUUUUUUUUCUUUUGUUAAUAAUUCUUGAAAGCAAACAUAGCCCUAAAGUUUAUGAAACCCAUCGCUUAGAAUUUUCUUCCGGACACAAACCAAGUUUCAGAGGAAGCAACAAGUGGGCAGUACAGAUUGAUCUAUCCAUCAUUUUGUAAGGUUCAUGAUCAUUUUCUUCUCCGUUCUGCGGACCGUAAUUGAACAGAUACAACCCAGAGAGGGCUUUGGAAUUUAAACCGCAAAUUAAAUUCAUUGAAAAUUGAUGGCUUGAGAGAAUUUUCUGGGGUUUUGUUUUGAUGGGUAUAUAUUGUUUUCUAUGAAUUGAAAUUCGAAGAGCUCACAAGAUCAGUGGUUGAAAUUUGUGCUGACAAAAAUUAAAAAGAAGAUACAUAUAGCAGACAAACAGAAGCUCAUUGGCGAAUUGGGAUUCUUAUUAAGUCACUUUCUUGAAUAUGUGGAUCAUAUAAACAGUGUACAACCCUGAGAUGAAUAAGUGAAUAUAUAAAUGCAUCGUAAACAAACACUGCAGGUCGAUUGAUUCACCAACUCCUUCCAUCAAUGUCAAGCUACUUUGAAUUUUCGACGCAGCAAAUACCCUAAUGAAAUGGCUAUAAAAGCCGUUAUAACGAUCCCCUUGUACGACUUCAACUUGGUCAUUACAUUUUCUAACACAGUUUCAUCUCUUUUUGAUUCAUGGCCUCCCUUCUUUUGUAUGCCACUUCCUUCUUCUUUUGGUUUUUCGACUUCCUUCUUUUGUUUGUCACUUUCUUCUUUAGUUUUUUCGACUUCCUUCUUUUGUUUGUCACUUUCUUCUUUUGGUUUUUCUGUCACAACAGGCUGCUGCUUUGGGAUGGUCAUCUCGAGAGGUUUCUUAGGAGGUGGUUGGGCUAUGCUCAGCUUUACGUCUUUCCCAGCACCUUAGAAUGAGAGCAACGAAUUAAAGAUUAACAACAUUCUACUUCUCCAUUGAAUACAUUUGUUUCUAUAAAUUGUGUGUGUAUAUAGAGGCUAAGAAGAAGAGCAAUCAAACAAUGAUUCAUAGAUUUAACAGAUCAUUUAUUUUCUAACAAGAAGAAAAGAGUUCAAGGAACUUCAACAAGUAAGCCUCCAAAGAUGACAAAGCAGAAUAUUGGCG
This 24753-nucleotide long non-coding RNA is filed under the name Vitis vinifera (wine grape). Its description in RNAcentral is "long non-coding RNA (VVIN_LNC005695)". Lineage: Eukaryota; Viridiplantae; Streptophyta; Magnoliopsida; Vitales; Vitaceae. The record is from RNAcentral.